AGUCACUUUGUCUUAAUGGCAAAUGUGAGAUGCAGUGUAUGGAAUGUCCAAUUUCUAGUAUGAGAAAUUAACGAUUUAAGUCCUUCUUAAAUGAGGCCAUUUACCCAAAGAGGGUGCCAGGCCCGUAUAACGUUAAUGAUUACUAGAGGAUAUUUCCGAAGAGUCGUGUUGCUUGAUAGUGCAGCACUAAGUGGGUGGUAAACUCCAUCUAAAACUAAAUAUAACCAUGAGACCGAUAGUAAACAAGUACCGUGAGGGAAAGUUGAAAAGAACUCUGAAUAGAGAGUUAAAUAGUACGUGAAACUGCUUAGAGGUUAAGCCCGAUGAACCUAAAUAUCCAUUAUGGGAAAUUCAUCAUUAUGAAUGUAAUAAUAAUAUUAUUAUAAUAAUAGUGUGCAUUUUUCCCAUAUAAGGACAUUGUAAUCUAUUAACAUACAUCAAUUUAUCAAAAGAUCAAUUGCGUAAGUUUAUUUCAAUUAUUUUGCUUGCAAUUUAACACAGAAUAAAUGCUUUUGAUUUGAUAAAGUGUUGAUAGAUAUAUUAUAUAUGGUGCUUAAAUAUUUAUAUUUUAUAAUAUCAUAAAAAUUUAUAAUUUUUAUGCUUAUUAUAUGCACUUAUAUGAUUAACAAUGCGAAAGAUUUAGCCCACCUUCGGGACCCGUCUUGAAACACGGACCAAGGAGUCUAACAUAUUUGCAAGUUAUUGGGAAUUAAAAAACCUAAUAGCGAAAUUAACAUAACUUAUAUGAUGGGAUUAGUUUUUAGUCUAAAUGUCUAUUAAUUCAAUCCCGGGGCGUUCUGUUGUUAUGUAUAAUAA
This 816-nucleotide ribosomal RNA is filed under the name Fannia manicata. RNAcentral's name for it is "eukaryotic LSU rRNA". It matches the Rfam family "Eukaryotic large subunit ribosomal RNA", at positions 117 to 788 of the family's 3401-position model. The record is from RNAcentral. Lineage: Eukaryota; Metazoa; Arthropoda; Insecta; Diptera; Fanniidae.